GUAAGAUCAUAGCUUCAGGACCUAAGUAGCUCCUGGGGAUGGGAAAGAGAUGACUGACUGAGGUGGUUGAUGGGAUUCUUACAGCCCCUGUCAGGCUUCAAUUUGCAAAGCUCCAUAGUGGAUCCCUAAACCUCUCCACACAGGAAAUUGUGCAGGAGACUGGGGGAAAGGUGACGAGGCAGGUAUCAAAUAUUUUCUAGUUCUUUGCCGGAGGCCCUGGCCAGUGGGCAUACUUUAGAAUGAGGAUAAACGAAAAGAGCACCUCUUACCCAUGAUUAUGGUGGAUGGAGUCAAGACCAGGCAUGGACAAGAUGCCAGUGGAGAGUGCUGGAGGGUGAGAACCAUGGACACCUAAGUCAACAUGUCAUCAAAGCGAAAACAGCCUGAACCUGGAGUCAAAAGCCAAGUACUAAAUCAAAGGAUUAGCAAGAUAAAGAGAUCAAGCACAAGAAGGUUGGAAAUGGCUAGAGGGAACAUGGACUUGGUGAAGGCCAUUGCCAGUGGCCAAGUGGCUAUGUCCUGCAGCUGGACUGAAAGGAUAGGAUGCCAUAAGGUGCUUCUGGAAGUCCCUUAAAAGUCCUGCACAGAGGCUGGCUGCAGUGGCUCACACCUGUAAUCCUGGCACUUUGGGAGGCUGAGGUGGACGGAUUACCUGAGGUCAGGAGUUUGAGACCAGCCUGGCCAACAUGGUGAAACUCCAUCUCUACUAAAAAUACAAAAAUUAGCCAGGCGCAGUGGCAGGCACCUGUAAUCCCAGCUACUCGGGAGGCUGAGGCAGGAGAAUCGCUUGAACCCGGGAGGCGGAGGUUGCAGUGAACUGAGAUCGCACCACUGCACUCUAGCCUGGGUGACAGAGCAAGACUCCGUC
This 868-nucleotide long non-coding RNA is filed under the name Homo sapiens (human). RNAcentral's name for it is "HSALNT0299432". The record is from RNAcentral. Lineage: Eukaryota; Metazoa; Chordata; Mammalia; Primates; Hominidae.